AUAAAUAAAUAAGUAUAUCCUCCAUUCCCGUCUCCAAAACUGUCCUGUCAAAUGCGUAAUGACGUCAUACGUCAUGCUGUGCGUCCUGUCACGUGACGGUGCGCGGCCAAUCGGGUUGUUUUAUAUCCGGAAGUCACUCGCGAGCCGCGAGCUUCGAGAGGGGGACGCGUUGGGAACAUUUGCUGCAAGGAGCCAACUACCGGAGCCGCCAGGCAUCGUGUGGAGUCGCGGGUGUUGAUUAAAGAAGGAAUUGGCCAGGUGAUGGCGAGCUAGACCCAAAGAAUUAUAGGCUCACACUGCCUGAAGAACCCUGGAGCUCGAACUGAAGUGAACUGAACUGGACCUCCUGCACCUCCUCCACCUGGUUGGGCUGGUAGGAGGCUCCUUUAAGGCAGCCGCCCCUCUCUUUUACUUUUUGCCCCUCGCAACAACUCAUUCUUGGCCCAAACCCAUUCACCACUCGUUCAAUACUCCCUUUCCCUGGACACCGCCCUUUCCCUCUGGACUCUGGACAAUUUGGGCCACUGAACUGUUGCGUGUGUUCUAUCUCGGCUGAACUUCAGAACUCUUUCGCGCGUCUAAUGGAUCGUUUCUCGCGUGAUAAUGGAUCCAUCGAAUAAUGUUUUCUUGUGAAAUAAUUGUGACUUAAUUCUGUACUUCUCAUGAAUGGCCAUUCACUUUAAAUGUUAAAUGUUGUCUAUGUCAAAAUAUAAUAUAAUUGGUACCACCUAAAACUUA
Amphiprion ocellaris (clown anemonefish) is the source of this 738-nucleotide long non-coding RNA. RefSeq lists it as uncharacterized. NCBI's taxonomy places the organism in Eukaryota, Metazoa, Chordata, Actinopteri, Pomacentridae. The transcript has 3 exons. The record is from RefSeq and is a predicted model, not a curated record.